GAUGGAGCCACAGGAUAUCAUGCCUGGCACUGUACUUCUGUCCAAAGCCUACAGCUCGGGAGGCCUGGCUGCUCUCAACCUGGGUUGGAGUAGGCAGCGGUGGGGAGAUGCAGAGGAAGUCAGAGUGCUGAGAUUAAGAGACAGAGUGCUCAGCCGUAACUGGGCAUCUGUAUUAAACUCCCUACCAAGGCGCAGCGGACAUCUUUGAAGAGGAGGAAGAAAGGGUGUAAGAGCCAGAAGGUGGGGAGAAGUGCGGGGAUAUCAUGUCUUCUGGACACCAGACAGCUAGCAGGAUCGUGAACUCACAGCAGCUGGAGUUACCUGCCCAAGACCAAGCCCGCUAAAAUGUAGGCAGAGACGGGCACGAUCUCCAGGGCCACUCCUUGCCCGAGGAGCUGUUGGCACCGGAUAGCUGCUGAGAGAGGAAAAAUUUGUUUAUUUUUGAAGAUGUGGCCACAGGAGCACAGCUGCAUACACAGCAAUACAUAAAAAACGAAGAGGAGGGAGCAGAGAUAAGUCCCACCGCGAACGGAAGAGCAUCCGCGUCUGGCUGUUAGAAUCGGGGAGGUCGUCCUAGAAGAGAUGAUGUCGAGUUGAAUUUUGACUAUGGUAAGAUGUAAAUAAAUGAUGAUGGAUAUUGGGUCGAUGCCAGACAACAAGAACCAAGAUGGAAAAGUACCUUCUUUGGUUUGAUGACAAGUGAGUCACGGAUGAAUCACUCUGUUCACCUUGAGCCCAGCCGGUGAGAGUUUCAGAAAGGUAAGUUCACUCCAGACAGUUCUAAAAGCCAGCCUAGGAAUUUUGGACUGUGUGUUGUGGCUAGGGAAGUUUUGGGUGAAGUAAUAGGCAAAAUGGGUCAUGGGGGGGGCGUAGGUGGGUGGAAUGAAUCCAACUGCGGAGAGAAUUGUCCAUGGCAGAGAGAAGAGGAGCUGAGGGGCCGGCAUGGAGCUUAGUGAUAGGGCUCGGGUAACUUGGAGAUUCUCUCAAAUAUCUGAAGUGUCUGUGAAGACAGCCUUGGAUUCAUGCAGCAGAGGAACCCACAACCACCCUCCUGGGGUUGGUCCUGCUCUGAGUAACCAGGCUUACUUCUUGUGAAAUGUCAUGCUCUUCUUUCAUAGCAGACAGGGACUCCAGGUACAUCCCGAGACACAUCUGUAACCAGACGAGGUUUCCUGGAGGAGGUGAAGUAAGGCUGUGCACCGCCAGUCCCUCGCCGGGAGAGUCAGGCCUGGACUUGGGAGGCAGGGGAGUGUGAAAACAGAACAUGAUCCACACCGGGGGCUAUCGUCCACAAGACUGCCGCUCCAGUGCCCCUUGUCUUCUGCUAGCCCAAGGAGCGGUCUGCUUGCCAUUCGACUCUUCCGGCUUCUCCUGUUCAGUGUCUGCAGGAGCCGUCUUGACCUGAUGGCUAGGUCUGGGAGCAUCAUUGUACCUGGUCUGCUGCAGUUCAAAUGUCUUCCUGAAAGUCCACGCCUCGGGAGUCUAAUUUCCGGCUACAGAGUGCUGAAAUAGUGAGAGAGGUACAAUGAGGACUCCUCCCACAGGUGGGUUGGCACUGUCGCCAUGGGAAUAGGCUCCUGAUGGAAGGGUGAGUCUGGACCCCAUCUCGCCAAUCUCCAUCUCUCCUGCAUUUCCUCUCCUACCCGUUCUCUUUCCACCAGCGCCUCGCCAGUGCCAGUGAAGGUCCUCUUGCCCUCUUGCCUCCCACCGUGGGGUGAUAGAGCAAGGAAGUGUUUUGCCAGAAGCAGGCUUGUUGGCCAUCUCAGCUGUGAGAACCCAGUCUCCACCUCAGACAUGCUGGGGUACCCCGAGGCUGCUGGAACCAGUGCCUCUUCCUCCAACACCCAGCCUUCCAGUUUUCCUCCAGAGCACGUUUGACAUGGGCUCUGGUGCAGUUCUUAGAGUCUGCUCUCGAAGCUUCCUGCUCGCAUCAACUUCCUGAAAACGCUCAUUCCUGGAGGCUUUCGUGAUCCCCUUCUGAGUGCCCUGGACAGUGAUUUGGAGUGACACCAAGUGUCCCCAGUCCCCUCCAGAUCUCACUAUGUUGAUUCCAUGCUGUGAUCCUCCCAUAACUUCUAGCAUCCAAGUGUGUGCAGAGCCUGAGUUCUCCCACAGUCCCCAGCAUCCCAGUGUGUGCAGAGCCUGAGUCCUCCCACAGUCCUCACCAUCUCAGUGUGUGCUGAGCCUGAGUCCUGCCACGGCUCUCACCAUCUCAGUGUAUGCAGAGCCUGAGUCCUCCCACAGUCCCCAGCAUCCCAGUGUGUGCAGGGCCUGAGUCCUCCCAUAGCCCUCACCAUCCCAGUGUAUGCUGAACCUGAGUCCCGCCAUGGCUCUCACCAUGCCAGUCCUCUUACUGCACUCAGUAGCCCUUGUGUUCUGAGCGACUGUCCUCCAAGGUAAGCCACCAGCCAUUUUGGGAUAUCUACCUGCACCCCCUUGCAAAAAUCAUGCUAGUUUGGCUUGUUGACUGUUUACACACCCACGCAGAGGGGUGAAGAGGGGCUUGAUAUUCUCACCUGAGUAUCAAACUGCUUUCUACCUCCUCUUGUACAAAACUGGUUUGAUUGCAUGUGGCCUAAGGAAGGGUAUAUAAAGGAGUUCGCGUAUACAGAGGCCAGGGCGGACUAGGGCUGGGGGUCCAUCUAUGUGGGUAAAGAGAAGCCCUCAUCCCUGCUGGGUAAGGCUUUUCAGGUGCAGCAUUUUUUUUGGGGGUCACCCACACCCCUAUAGGAAGCCCAAUAAACUCACUGGUUCCCCAGAGUAGAGUUGGGCAGAAUUGUGCCUUAGUUUGUCGUUGGGCCCUUGGGAGGAGGGGUAGAUGUUGCCCACAUCUGCUCUGGGGAAAGGAAUUUCAGCAGCACCUUCUCAGGCUUGUCAUUACUGAACUGGCCUCUUGUCCAGGUGGGGGACAGCAGAGCUGGCAGUGAAGGCUGUGUCAGUGGCCACUUAUGGGGUGCCAUGACUCCUGGAAGGAAGCCUGGCAGAAAAACCACGUAUAGAUCAGAAGUACUGCCCAUGGAAACCAUCAGAAACAUUAGAACAGACUGGAUCUCUCUGGAAUCCAGGCAGAGCUGCUGGCCUAGGACUGGAUUCUGCUUGCUGGCAGAUUCAGGAUCUUUGCCCUCAGUGCAUUCAUGGCCUAGUGAGUUGCCGGGCUGCUGCAGACUGGCUGGAGAGAGUACUUCUCUGGCAUGAUGGAAGGAAGUUGGCCCGGAGGUGAGACCUGGGUGCACAGGCCUAGUCUAUGCCUUAGCAUUUGUAUUGGGGAAAAUUAUAAAGGCCACUCCACGUAAUUAAAAGGAAGAUUUAUUUAGUGGAUGACUUACAAAUGAAGGAAUAGAUAGGUUGCGGGGGUCUGGGGAAGGUGUAUCGCAAUCCAGCGGUGUUCUCUGGAGCUCUGCACAUUCAACCUCCACCUUCCAGGGUCCAGGUGCAGAGAGCGCGCACAGAGAGAGCGCUCACCCAUCCAGCUCUCGGGUUUCCAGCUCCUCCCCUCGCCCCGCCUCAUAGGCGUGACAGUUGCCAGAGUCUCAAUGGGGGUUGGAACUUCCAGAUCCAAGCUGGAAUGGCUACCCACUACACAUUUGGGAUGAUAGGGCUCUGGAAGACUGUGACCCAGUGGUCCAGCUCUCUGUUUCUAUGAUGUGAGGUCUCUUCUUAGGUCUGAAUCUAAGAGCCAACUGAUCUUGGACCAAAAUCUCCAAAACUGUGAGCCAAACAACUUCUUCACAUAAGUAGUGAAUCUCAGGCCUGUUUCAUUUAGAAGUAUGAGAUCAUAGCCAGUUUCCUAGUUACUGUGUUCAUUUAUGGAUGCUCCCACUGAUCCAUGUCCCUUAUUGACAGACCCUGAGGACGCUUUUAGUCUCUUUGCUUUGUCCACAGCAAUGCGUAAUCUAUAUCAAACGUGUAUCAGGUCGCCAAGGUAGAAGUGCUUCUCUUGGCUGUGGGUUUUUAGAGGUGGAGUUGUUAGUUAAACCUCACAUGCAUUUACAUUUUAGGCAAAUAUCGUUACAUUGUUUGUCUUCUACAGUGCUUGGGACUAGGGAUGGACCCCAGGGCCCUGCGCAUGCUCGAAACUUAAGAGCAAGUCUGGAUUUCUACUCUUGUCCGAGGCCUUACCAAAGAAUUGUCCUCCUGUCAAGCUUCUUUGUAGGAAGAUGAUUCUCAUCCUAACUCUAAAUCAGUGCUUCUGGUUAUACUAAGAGAGGCCAAGCAUCUUGAAAGAGAAUCUUCAAAACCGGGGAAGUACUUCAGUUCUUGUGGGAGGAGGCAGAGGACAGAGGAAAGACUCCCCCAGGUGAAAGAGGUCUCCGUAGCAAUAGGUCAUGGGCCCAGGGUGCCUCCGGGGUAACUGUGCCUUUCCUUUCUCUUGGCUGACAUGCCAAACCCGCUUGAUGCUCACGUCAGCUUGGGCUUGUCACUCGGGUGGAAGAGCGGUCCUUUGCAUGCUGUCUUCAGCUCUGCAAGCUUGGAUGUUUCCAGAGCUUUCAAGCAUUUUCCUGGACCAGCUCAGUUCAGCCCGUUCAACUUUCAUGCCUUGUUACGGCAGUGGGGCUUGAGGGCCCAUCAAGCUGUUACCUCCAGAGCUUUCUCGUUGUCUCCACGGCUUUCUCCAUGGUCGUAUAGACGUGGGGAAGGGGUCAGUACAGCAUUGCCUUGGUGUAUGAGGGGAGGUUGCUUAAAAAGGAGUCUCUCUCCCGCCCACACUUACUGCAAAACUGUUUCUCUGUCGUCUGCUGAUAUUAAAUGUGUGUCUCAGCACUCUGCAGCGGGUGCCUCAGCUCCAGGACGCUCACCAGAGGGGUUCUCCCCACUGAGUCCCCUGGGAAGCUAGGGUAGCGCAGUCUGUGUCGCAGCCAGUAUUGGAAAUGUUAUUAGAACACAGCGUGAGACAUCAACAUCUCGAAAACGCGAAUCACUUUGGGAAUUUGGCUUUGCAGCCGUGAACACCGUCCAUAACCAGAGGUCUUCAGAGCCAAUAAAGUGCAUGCGACAUGACGGGGAGCUCAGCUUCACUCAGGGAGUUCAGAUUUCAGGUUAGAAGUGACCGUGGCAGGAAGUUAGGUACCUAUGUCCUUUGUUCUGUCUCCUAAGAAUGAAGGAAUGUCUAGUUUUGUUUGUUUGUUUUUUAAGAAUAUCUGUUUUAGUCAGAAAUUUUCAUUUUAGAAGCAAUAUAAGAAAGAUUAUGGGUCAGGUCUCCCUCGAUCUCUCUCUUCCUCUCUUCCUCGUUUUUUCUUUCCUUUUAUUAUGUCUGAAGCAGCUGCCACAUGGUUGUCACUGUGAUAGAAUCAAGAGCCCAUGUUCCUGGGACUAGAGGGAUGGCUCAGAGAUUAAGAGCAUGCUGCUCUUCCAGAGGACCUGAGUUCAAUUCCCAGCACCCACAUGACAGCUCACAACUGUCUGUAUCAGGAGAUCCGAAGCCCUCAUACCGACAUAUGUGCAGGCAAAACACCAAUGUACAAAAAAUAAAAGUAAAUAAGUUAUUUUCAAAAUAGGAGUUCAUAUUCCUGCUUAUAAACAUCUUUCUCUUGGCCUUCACUUCAGCCCUUGAGUACAUGCCUCACACAGUUUGGUUAAGUAAUAACAAUUAUCAGUCUUAGAGAGGGUACCCAGUGACCUAUCUACCUACCUAUCUGUCUGUCUGUCUAUCUAUCUAUCUAUCAUCUAUCUAUCCAUCUCUGUGAAUUCAU
Non-coding RNA from Peromyscus maniculatus bairdii (prairie deer mouse), 5690 nucleotides. Lineage: Eukaryota; Metazoa; Chordata; Mammalia; Rodentia; Cricetidae. The record is from RefSeq and is a predicted model, not a curated record.